GUAGGUGGCAAGCGUUGUCCGGAUUUACUGGGCGUAAAGAGCGCGCAGGCGGUCGUUCAAGUCGCGUGUGAAAGCCCCCGGCUCAACUGGGGGGGGUCACGCGAUACUGAUCGACUCGAAGGCAGGAGAGGGAAGUGGAAUUCCCGGUGUAGUGGUGAAAUGCGUAGAUAUCGGGAGGAACACCAGUGGCGAAGGCGACUUCCUGGCCUGUUCUUGACGCUGAGGCGCGAAAGCUAGGGGAGCAAACGGGAUUAGAUACCCCGGUAGUCCUAGCCGUAAACGAUGGACACUAGGUGUUGGUGGUAUCAACCCCGCCAGUGCCGAAGCUAACGCAUUAAGUGUCCCGCCUGGGGAGUACGGCCGCAAGGCUA
This 371-nucleotide ribosomal RNA is filed under the name uncultured bacterium. Its description in RNAcentral is "bacterial SSU rRNA". It matches the Rfam family "Bacterial small subunit ribosomal RNA", at positions 527 to 896 of the family's 1533-position model. The record is from RNAcentral.